Molecule: ribosomal RNA, 184 nt
Filed under: uncultured Pelagophyceae
Lineage: Eukaryota; Pelagophyceae
Description: partial Bacterial small subunit ribosomal RNA
Rfam family: Bacterial small subunit ribosomal RNA
Source: RNAcentral
GUUUGAUCCUGGCUCAGAUUGAACGCUGGCGGCAUGCUUUACACAUGCAAGUCGAACGGUAACAUUUCUAGCUUGCUAGAAGAUGACGAGUGGCGGACGGGUGAGUAAUGCUUGGGAACUUGCCUUUGCGAGGGGGAUAACAGUUGGAAACGACUGCUAAUACCGCAUAAUGUCUUCGGACCAA